Molecule: ribosomal RNA, 555 nt
Filed under: uncultured bacterium
Lineage: Bacteria
Description: bacterial LSU rRNA
Rfam family: Bacterial large subunit ribosomal RNA
Source: RNAcentral
GCUACUAAGAGCUUAUGGUGAAUGCCUUGGCGCCAAGUGCCGAUGAAGGACGUGGGACACUGCGAUAAGCCUCGGGAAGCUGUGUACAAGCGUCGAUCCGAGGAUCUCCGAAUAGGGAAACCAACCGUUGCGAACCAACGGUGUCCUCUUACUGAACACAUAGGUUUGAGGAUGGGAACCUGGGGAACUGAAACAUCUAAGUACCCCAGAGGAAAAGAAAUUAUUCCCCCAGUAGUGGCGAGCGAACGGGGAACAGCCCAAACCGUCUCUGCUUGCAGAGACGGGGUUGUAGGACCGGCAAUACGGAAGUUACAAAAUGAUCAGUUAGCGGAAAGGUGUGGGAAAGCCUGCCAAAGAGGGUAACAGCCCCGUAUGCGAAAACUGAUUGUCUUCCGCCGUGUUCCUGAGUACUGCCGGGCACGCUAAUCCGGCAGGAAUCUAGGAGUCCACUCUCUAAGGCUAAAUACACUUGGCGACCGAUAGUGAACUAGUACCGUGAGGGAAAGGUGAAAAGUCCCCCUGUUAGGGAGUGAAUAGAACUGAAACCAUAAGCUU